Molecule: transfer RNA, 90 nt
Filed under: Arenibacter algicola
Lineage: Bacteria; Pseudomonadati; Bacteroidota; Flavobacteriia; Flavobacteriales; Flavobacteriaceae
Description: tRNA-Asn
Source: RNAcentral
UGUUUUGAGGCUGUUUGGCAAUAGUUUAUAUUUUAUUGAAAUAUAUUAAAUAAAAGACUCUGAUUAAGAAGUUCCACUUGUCCAAAAUAA